RNAcentral lists this long non-coding RNA (286 nucleotides) under Lathyrus oleraceus (garden pea). RNAcentral's name for it is "Pisum sativum (pea) long non-coding RNA (PSAT_LNC031099)". Lineage: Eukaryota; Viridiplantae; Streptophyta; Magnoliopsida; Fabales; Fabaceae. The record is from RNAcentral.
UUGAAGUCCUUGUAUCUGAGGCAGAGGAAGAUGAUGUUGAAGGGGAUUCCUGACGAGAUUACCCGCCUUCUUGAGCACAAAAGAAGCUCAUUCAGCUGUAUCACGAGAAUCAGCAAAACAGUCAAACUGGGGCAUUGCAAAUGCAAUCAAAAAAAAAAAAAAAAAAAAAAAACAAAAAAAAAAAAAAAAAAAAAAAAAAAAAAAGAAAAAAGAAAAAAUGAGAGGGUGAAAAAGAUGGAAAAAAUCAAAAAUCAGCAAAAAAAAUUUUCAAAAAUCUUUUCAAAGG